Molecule: long non-coding RNA, 588 nt
Filed under: Phoenix dactylifera (date palm)
Lineage: Eukaryota; Viridiplantae; Streptophyta; Magnoliopsida; Arecales; Arecaceae
Description: long non-coding RNA (PDAC_LNC008717)
Source: RNAcentral
AGCCUAAAAAGCAUUCGAAUAAAAUUUCACAAAAGUAAUUUAGGCAUAAUCCAUCUUCAGUUGGCAUGCAAUGUCUACCCUAAACUAAUGCGGUAGCACACCACAUCUUCCUUAAGCAUGGACUAUCUUAUAUUUACCUAGUGAUCAUGAAGAACAGUUGUACGAACAUCAUACUUAAAAUCACAGAAAUUAAAUAUGAUUCAAAAGAAGAUAUCCAUUAAAAACAAUAAGUUUAUACAACCCCAAAAAUAUAAAAUAAAAUAUAAAACUCGUGUUCCUUUGUUAGGGCUGCAUCCAGCUCCAGUGAAAAGAUUAGCCUUCCAUAAAGAGUUGAACAGCUGCACCUGCAGGGGGACUUCAUGAUGAUUGGCUCCUUCCUCCCGUCGGUUUCCUCCCCCUUUUGGACUUCUGUGGGAACUCCACCUGGGAACACGAUGAUUGAUUAUUCGGUGAGUAGGAAUGCCCCCCACCCUUCAUGUCCUGGUUCCUUUUAUAGGCUGCCCACCUCCCCUGUUUUGCUUCACGUGUGAGUGAGAAGAUAAGGACGCGGAAGGCAUGCUGCUGGAUGGAAUUGAUCCGGACGCGUNN